This is a non-coding RNA of Ailuropoda melanoleuca (giant panda), 2298 nucleotides long. NCBI's taxonomy places the organism in Eukaryota, Metazoa, Chordata, Mammalia, Carnivora, Ursidae. The record is from RefSeq and is a predicted model, not a curated record.
CUUGAAGGAAGUGACCUUAUUCCUCCUCCACUUUCUGAACAGAGACCCAAGGUCUGCAAUAACAGAAGACAUUGAGGCCAACCUACUGUAUUGUCUAAAAGGUUUCAACAGCUGCACCUCUCUUGCUCGGCCCCACCCUGAACCCAGCUCUCGACUCGAACACGGCUCCAGCAUGGAGGAGGUGGACCGAAUCCUCAUCCAUUCCCUGCGCCACGUCGGCACAGCAGUUCCUCCAGGUGUACAGACCCUGCAAGCCUUCACCCCUGAGUUGGUUGUAAAAGCUGUGGUCUGCUGUCUGCGUGUGAUCAACCCUGCCGUGGGCUCUGGCCUCAGCCCCCUGCUGCCUCUGGCCAUGUCUGAGCGCCUCCACCUGGCCGUGAGCCUGGCUCAGGCCUGCACGGACCUGGGCUAUCCCUUGGAGCUUGGCUAUCAGAGCUUCCUCUACCCCGGUGAGCCUGAUCUCCGGGACCUGCUUCUCUUCUUGGCUGAGCAUCUGCCCUCUGAUACCUCUGACGAUGCAGAUCGGCCUGCGGGUGACUCAUCUCUCCUUCUCCGGGCCAUCGGGGGCCAAAUGCGGGACCAGUUGGCCCUUCCCUGGGUCCCACCCCUCCUUCGUACUCCUCAGCUACAGCACCUCCAGGGCUCAGUCUCCCAGAAGCCUUUCCACACCAUCAGGCUGGUCAUGCCUGAGUUGAGUUCCAGAGGGGAGCCCCGGGAGUUCCAGGCAAGUCCUCUGCUGCUACCAGCCCCCACCCAGGUGCCCCAACCUGCUGGGAGGGUGGCCUCACUCCUCGAAUGCCAUGCCAUCCAGCUCUGCCAGCACACAGGCCGGGACCGCCCUGGGGAUGAGGACUGUGUCCAGCAGGCACCCCGCCAUCCCACCCAGGAGGAUACACGGGCUCGGUGGCAGUGGCUGCAGAGGCACCUGGCCGAGCAUCUACGCCAGACCUGGGGCCGACCAGCGGCUCCCUCACAAGCCGGAGACCUGAGAGAGCUGCUGCAGGCCUGGGGUGCUGGGACCAGGACUGGUGCUUCUAAGGGCUCCCGCUUCACACACUCAGAGAAGUUCACCUUCCAUCUGGAGCCUGAGGUCCAGGCAGCCCAGGGGUCUGAUGUGCCGGUCACCUCCCAGCGGCCUGAACAGGACACGAAGGCAGCUCAAGAACAGGAGCUGGAGUCUCUUUGGGAGCAGCUGGAGGGAGUGAACCGCAACAUUGAAGAGGUUGAAGCCAACAUGAAGACCCUGGAAAUCAGCCUCAUCCAGGUGGAGGCCGAGCGUGGGCAGACCGAGCUCAGCACAGCAGAGAAUAAGCAGGCCCUGCGCUUGAAGAGCUGGGCAGUGGAGCUGCUGCCUGGCGGGGCUGCCAACCUCUCCAAACUGCAGCUCAUGGUAGAGAGUAGUGCCCAGCGGGUCUUCCACUUGGCGGGUCAGUGGGAAAAACACCGGGUCCCUCUCCUGGCUGAGUACCGCCUCCUCCGAAAGCUCCGGGAUUGCAGAGAGCUGGAAUCUUCUCGACGGCUGGCAGAGAUCCAGGAGCUGCACCAGAGUGUUCGAGCAGCUGCCGAAGAGGCCCGAAGGAAGGAGGAGGUCUAUAAGCAGCUGGGGUCAGAGCUGGAAACCCUGCCUACAGGUGUGUCCUGGCAGGGCUAUACCCAUCGCAUCCUGGAGGUUGUGGACAACAUCCGGAAGCAGAAGGAAGGGAUCACUAAGAUCUUGUCAGACACAAAGGAGCUUCAGAAGGAAAUCAGCUGUCUGUCUUCGAAGCUGGACCGGACCUUUGCAGUGACCGAUGAGCUCAUUUUCAAGGAUGCCAAGAAGGAUGAUGCCGUUCGGAAGGCAUACAAGUAUCUAGCUGCCUUUCAUGAGAACUGCAGCCAGCUCCUCCAGACCAUCGAGGACACAGGCACAAUCAUGUGGGAAGUUGGAGACCUUGAGCAGCAGAUCGAGACAGAGAUGGGGAAGAAGACCCUCAGCAACCUGGAGAAGAUCCGCGAGGACUACCGAGCCCUUUGCCAGGAGAAUGCUGACCUCCUGGAGCAGGUCCUGGAGGCCUGAGGAGCCCCCAGUACUGCUCUGCUCCUGGCCUUGGGCAGGGAGUUGGGAUGUUGGGGUUGGUGGCCAAGUGCUUGCCCUAGCCAUUCCCUCUGUUAGCUGUGCCGCUCCUCCUACAGCCUUGGCCCCAGACCCCUGCCCACCUGACCCAAACCCUUAUCUGGGCUGAUCAUUCAAAACGUUGGAAUUUGGCUGCAAUUUAUUGGAGAGGGCACUGGGGUUAGGACCUUGGAUCCCAAAUAAAA